GAUGAACGCUAGCUACAGGCUUAACACAUGCAAGUCGAGGGGUAACGAGAGGAAAGCUUGCUUUCCUUGUCGACGACCGGCGCACGGGUGAGUAACGCGUAUCCAACCUGCCCCCAACUAGGGAAUAACCUUGCGAAAGUAAGACUAAUACCCUAUAAUUUCCUCAGAUGUCAUCUGACGAGGAAUAAAGAUUUAUCGGUUGUGGAUGGGGAUGCGUCUGAUUAGCUUGUUGGCGGGGUAACGGCCCACCAAGGCAACGAUCAGUAGGGGUUCUGAGAGGAAGGGCCUCCACAUUGGAACUGGGACACGGUCCAAACUCGUACGGGAGGCAGCAGUGAGGAAUAUUGGUCAAUGGGCGGAAGCCUGAACCAGCCAAGGAGCGUGCAGGAUGACGGCCCUAUGGGUUGUAAACUGCUUUUAUACAGGAAUAAAGUUAGCCACGUGUGGUUAUUUGUAGGUACUGUAUGAAUAAGGACCGGCUAAUUCCGUGCCAGCCGCCGCAGUAA
Molecule: ribosomal RNA, 506 nt
Filed under: uncultured bacterium
Lineage: Bacteria
Description: partial 16S ribosomal RNA
Rfam family: Bacterial small subunit ribosomal RNA
Source: RNAcentral